This 246-nucleotide ribosomal RNA is filed under the name uncultured Halocella sp. RNAcentral's name for it is "partial 16S ribosomal RNA". It matches the Rfam family "Bacterial small subunit ribosomal RNA", at positions 796 to 1041 of the family's 1533-position model. The record is from RNAcentral. Lineage: Bacteria; Bacillati; Bacillota; Clostridia; Halanaerobiales; Halanaerobiaceae.
CCAGCCGUAAACGAUGGACACUAGGUGUUGGGGGUUCGAAUCCUUCAGUGCCGAAGUUAACGCAUUAAGUGUCCCGCCUGGGGAGUACGGUCGCAAGACUGAAACUCAAAGGAAUUGACGGGGGCCCGCACAAGCGGUGGAGCAUGUGGUUUAAUUCGAUGCAACGCGCAGAACCUUACCGAGACUUGACAUCCCGUGCCUAUCUGUGAAAGCAGAGUCUGCCUUCGGGCACACGGAGACAGGUGG